GAUUAACGCUGGCGGCGUGCAUAACACAUUCAAGUCGAACGGAAGAGAGUGCUUCGGUACUUUCUUUAGUGGCGGACGGGUGAGUAACGCGUGAGUAAUCUACCUUCCAGUGCGGAAUAACAACCGGAAACAGUUGCUAAUACCGCAUGAAAUGGCAGCAUCGCAUGGUGCAACCAUCAAAGAUUUAUCGCUGGAAGAUGAGCUUGCGUCCGAUUAGAUAGUUGGCGGAGUAACAGCCCACCAAGUCGACGAUCGGUAGCCGGACUGAGAGGUUGAACGGCCACAUUGGAACUGAGAUACGGUCCAGACUCCUACGGGAGGCAGCAGUGGGGAAUAUUGGGCAAUGGGCGAAAGCCUGACCCAGCGACGCCGCGUGAGGGAAGAAGAUCUUCGGAUUGUAAACCUUAGUCAACAGGGAAGAAGAAAGUGACGGUACCUGUGGAGGAAGCCACGGCUAACUACGUG
This 465-nucleotide ribosomal RNA is filed under the name uncultured bacterium. RNAcentral describes it as "bacterial SSU rRNA". It matches the Rfam family "Bacterial small subunit ribosomal RNA", at positions 28 to 507 of the family's 1533-position model. The record is from RNAcentral.